RNAcentral lists this ribosomal RNA (450 nucleotides) under uncultured bacterium. RNAcentral describes it as "partial 16S ribosomal RNA". It matches the Rfam family "Bacterial small subunit ribosomal RNA", at positions 29 to 523 of the family's 1533-position model. The record is from RNAcentral.
AGCGAACGCUGGCGGCAGGCCUAACACAUGCAAGUCGAACGAACCUUUCGGGGUUAGUGGCGGACGGGUGAGUAACACGUGGGAACGUGCCUUUAGGUUCGGAAUAACUCAGGGAAACUUGUGCUAAUACCGAAUGCGCCCUUCGGGGGAAAGAUUUAUCGCCUUUAGAGCGGCCCGCGUCUGAUUAGCUAGUUGGUUGAGGUAAUGACUCACCAAGGCGACGAUCAGUAGCUGGUCUGAGAGGAUGAUCAGCCACAUUGGGACUGAGACACGGCCCAAACUCCUACGGGAGGCAGCAGUGGGGAAUCUUGCGCAAUGGGCGAAAGCCUGACGCAGCCAUGCCGCGUGAAUGAUGAAGGUCUUAGAAUUGUAAAAUUCUUUCACCGGGGACGAUAAUGACGGUACCCGGAGAAGAAGCCCCGGCUAACUUCGUGCCAGCCGCCGCCGUAA